RNAcentral lists this ribosomal RNA (253 nucleotides) under uncultured bacterium. Its description in RNAcentral is "partial 16S ribosomal RNA". It matches the Rfam family "Bacterial small subunit ribosomal RNA", at positions 524 to 776 of the family's 1533-position model. The record is from RNAcentral.
UACGGAGGGGGCUAGCGUUGUUCGGAAUUACUGGGCGUAAAGCGCACGUAGGCGGCUUUGUAAGUUAGAGGUGAAAUCCCGGGGCUCAACCUCGGAACUGCCUUUGAUACAGCAAGUCUUGAGUUCGAGAGAGGUGGGUGGAAUUCCUAGUGUAGAGGUGAAAUUCGUAGAUAUUAGGAAGAACACCGGUGGCGAAGGCGGCCCACUGGCUCGACACUGACGCUGAGGUGCGAAAGCGUGGGGAGCAAACAGG